Molecule: ribosomal RNA, 402 nt
Filed under: uncultured bacterium
Lineage: Bacteria
Description: bacterial SSU rRNA
Rfam family: Bacterial small subunit ribosomal RNA
Source: RNAcentral
GGGCCCGCACAAGCGGUGGAGCAUGUGGUUUAAUUCGAUGAUACGCGAGGAACCUUACCAGGGCUUAAAUGUAGUGGGACAGGUCUAGAGAUAGACCCUUCUUCGGACUCAUUACAAGGUGCUGCAUGGUUGUCGUCAGCUCGUGCCGUGAGGUGUCAGGUUAAGUCCUAUAACGAGCGCAACCCCUAUCGUUAGUUGCCAGCGAGUAAUGUCGGGAACUCUAACGAAACUGCCAGUGCAAACUGUGAGGAAGGUGGGGAUGACGUCAAAUCAUCACGGCCCUUACGUCCUGGGCUACACACGUGCUACAAUGGCCGGUACAGAGAGCAGCCACUUCGCAAGAAGGAGCGAAUCUAUAAAACCGAUCUCAGUUCGGAUCGGGGUCUGCAACUCGACCCCGUG